AGACUAUAGUCGGGACAUCUUCUUAGAAGAUCUUUAAAUCUCUCCCAAACUUCAUAUAAUGACUCGCCUUCAUGUUGAGUGAAACCUAUAAUAUCCAUAUGAAGUUU
This is a small nucleolar RNA of Coffea eugenioides, 107 nucleotides long. Lineage: Eukaryota; Viridiplantae; Streptophyta; Magnoliopsida; Gentianales; Rubiaceae. The record is from RefSeq and is a predicted model, not a curated record.